GAGGGGCAGCGGGGGCGAAGCCAGCCCCGCCAGCCGGCGACCGGCGCACGGGAGAGAAACACGAAAGCGACCUGCCCCCCGCAGGGGGAAAACCGGGAGAAAUCCCGACUAAUCCCGCGUAACGCCGCUGGGCCGCAUGGCCCGGGCGGCCAAAGGAAGCGAUUCCGGCGGGGGAUGGGCAUGCGGCGCAUUAGCUAGUCGGCGGGGUAACGGCUCACCGAGGCGACGAUGCGUAGGGGUUCUGAGAGGAAGGUCCCCCACACUGGUACUGAGACACGGACCAGACUCCUACGGGAGGCAGCAGUGAGGAAUAUUGGUCAAUGGGCGGGAGCCUGAACCAGCCAAGUCGCGUGAGGGAAGACGGUCCUACGGAUUGUAAACCUCUUUUGCCGGGGAGCAACGGGGUCCUUGCGAGGGCCCGAUGAGAGUACCCGGAGAAAAAGCAUCGGCUAACUCCGUGCCAGCAGCCGCGGUAAUACGGAGGAUGCGAGCGUUAUCCGGAUUUAUUGGGUUUAAAGGGUGCGUAGGCGGGCUGUUAAGUCAGCGGUCAAAUGUCGGGGCUCAACCCCGGCCUGCCGUUGAAACUGGCGGCCUCGAGUGGGCGAGAAGUAUGCGGAAUGCGUGGUGUAGCGGUGAAAUGCAUAGAUAUCACGCAGAACUCCGAUUGCGAAGGCAGCAUACCGGCGCCCGACUGACGCUGAGGCACGAAAGCGUGGGUAUCGAACAGGAUUAGAUACCCUGGUAGUCCACGCAGUAAACGAUGAAUGCUAGCUGUCCGGUUCUACGGGAGUGGUUGGCACAGCGAAAGCGUUAAGCAUUCCAUCUGGGGGGUGCGCCGGCAACGGUGAAAACUCAAAAGGAAUUGACGGGGGCCCGCACAAGCGGAGGAACAUGUGGUUUAAUUAGAUGAUACGCGAGGAACCUUACCCGGGCUCAAACGCCAAAGGACAGCCGCUGAAAGGCGGCCUCCCUCCGGGGUCUUUGGCGAGGUGCUGCAUGGUUGUCGUCAGCUCGUGCCGUGAGGUGUCGGCUUAAGUGCCAUAACGAGCGCAACCCCCAUCGAAAGUUGCUAACGGGUGAUGCCGAGGACUCUGUCGAGACUGCCGGCGCAAGCUGCGAGGAAGGCGGGGAUGACGUCAAAUCAGCACGGCCCUUACGUCCGGGGCGACACACGGGUUACAAUGGCCGGUACAGCGGGAUGCCAGGGCGCGAGCCCGAGCGGAACCCGAAAACCGGUCUCAGUUUGGAUUGGAGUCUGCAACCCGACUCCAUGAAGCUGGAUUCGCUAGUAAUCGCGCAUCAGCCACGGCGCGGUGAAUACGUUCCCGGGCCUUGCACAAACCGCCCGUCAAG
This 1353-nucleotide ribosomal RNA is filed under the name uncultured bacterium. RNAcentral's name for it is "bacterial SSU rRNA". It matches the Rfam family "Bacterial small subunit ribosomal RNA", at positions 64 to 1401 of the family's 1533-position model. The record is from RNAcentral.